ACGAGUGCCUCAAGCGUUAUCCGGAAUCAUUGGGCGUAAAGGUUGUGUAGGUGGUUGUAUUAGUCUUCUGUUAAAUUCUUCGGCUUAACCGGGGGCAUGCAGAGGAAACGGUACAACUAGAGGAUGCGAGGGGUCUGCGGAACUCAUAGUGUAGCGGUAAAAUGCGUUGAUAUUAUGGGGAACACCAAAAGCGAAGGCAGCAGACUGGAGUAUUCCUGACACUGAAACAAGAAAGCGUGGGUCGCGAAUGGGA
RNAcentral lists this ribosomal RNA (253 nucleotides) under uncultured prokaryote. RNAcentral describes it as "partial 16S ribosomal RNA". It matches the Rfam family "Bacterial small subunit ribosomal RNA", at positions 525 to 777 of the family's 1533-position model. The record is from RNAcentral.